Molecule: ribosomal RNA, 253 nt
Filed under: uncultured microorganism
Description: partial 16S ribosomal RNA
Rfam family: Bacterial small subunit ribosomal RNA
Source: RNAcentral
UACGUAGGGUGCGAGCGUUAAUCGGAUUUACUGGGCGUAAAGCGUGCGCAGGCGGCCCGUUAAGACAGGUGUGAAAUCCCUGGGCUCAACCUAGGAAUUGCGCUUGUGACUGGCGGGCUCGAGUACGGUAGAGGGGGGUGGAAUUCCUGGUGUAGCAGUGAAAUGCGUAGAGAUCAGGAGGAACACCGAUGGCGAAGGCAGCCCCCUGGCCCUAUACUGACGCUCAUGCACGAAAGCGUGGGGAGCAAACAGG